This 270-nucleotide long non-coding RNA is filed under the name Ananas comosus (pineapple). Its description in RNAcentral is "long non-coding RNA (ACOM_LNC027653)". The record is from RNAcentral. Lineage: Eukaryota; Viridiplantae; Streptophyta; Magnoliopsida; Poales; Bromeliaceae.
AAUUUCUGAUUAGUUGAAAAUAUUAUUUUUAAUAUUAUUUUUGAAUUUAAAUUUAAAAUUUUGAAUUUUUUUUUAGAGACUAAAGCUAAAAAUGUGCAAAGUUUAGGAACCGAAAUAAAAAUAUUAUAAAGGAGAGCCAAAUAGACGCUGAUCUAGCAAUCCUGUUAAUUUUAAUAUUUUUUUUAACGAUUGUGAUGUAAUUAUAAUAAAAUUAAAAAAUUAGAAACUCAGUUGUAAAAGAAUAAUUAGAUUUUUAAAUAAAAAAUAGUA